AGGUACCUAAACCUGUGCUCUUUCUCCUGAAGAACUGGGGCUUGGGUCUGAGCUCAGAGAGACCCUGCCCACCGGCUGCUUAGGGGGCGCACGUCCAGUGGCUGACUGUAUAUAUGGAAGUCUCUUACAGUAGACCAGGGGGUGGCUCAGCCAAACCCAAGGGCACAGACUCGGACUGAUGUUACCUGAGUUAUUCUGGCAGUGUGUGGGACCACAGCGAGACCAGAGCCUUCCAGAAGAUGAAUCCAGAAUGUUCUGACACUUGUUCCCCUCUGCACUGCCACGCCUCUGGUUUGACCGCUGCAUCUCCCCUUAUACUACCUGCUGCUGCUCUGGGUAUCUACGAAAAUCUCUUAAAGUCU
Molecule: non-coding RNA, 362 nt
Organism: Rattus norvegicus (Norway rat)
Lineage: Eukaryota; Metazoa; Chordata; Mammalia; Rodentia; Muridae
Source: RefSeq, a predicted model, not a curated record